Long non-coding RNA from Scatophagus argus, 558 nucleotides. RefSeq lists it as uncharacterized. Lineage: Eukaryota; Metazoa; Chordata; Actinopteri; Scatophagidae. The transcript has 3 exons. The record is from RefSeq and is a predicted model, not a curated record.
CACAGAGUGUCAGCAGCUACGUCAUUCUCAUACACUCCAUUUGUACGACGUUUCCUUCUGAAAUGUCAUGGGGUAGAAAGUGGCAUGAAAAGAAAAGUAAAGUUUCACGUCUUGCUGCAAAUUAAAGAUCACACUUCAAAAACAAAAACAAAAGAAUCACAAGGGUCCCUCCAUCCUCGUCCUGCCUCUUCUCCUCUGCGGCUCGUCCUGGACCACCCUGAGGCCCGACUGCCAGUCCAGACGCCCAGCAGAGAGGACGGGAGGAACCGGAACACGCAGAACCUGGACAGUCUUGUUUGCUGUGAUUGGUUCAUUCUGUGCCAGCUAGCUCUGAUUGGUUGCUUGAUUCCAACUGGUUUUUAGCAGUUGAGGAUGGAUGAAGCAACCGCGUAAAGUCGUGGGGUGAACUUUGUGUCCAUCACAGCUGGAUUUCUGAAGUGAGGCCUGAGCAGAGCCAACAUGAGGCCUGCACUCCUCCCCACUAAAUUAAAGCAAAGAAAGGAAACGUCUCUGAUUACGACUUCUUGAUGUAGUAACUAAUCGUCUUUGUCAGCUCUA